RNAcentral lists this long non-coding RNA (249 nucleotides) under Lathyrus oleraceus (garden pea). RNAcentral's name for it is "Pisum sativum (pea) long non-coding RNA (PSAT_LNC011427)". Lineage: Eukaryota; Viridiplantae; Streptophyta; Magnoliopsida; Fabales; Fabaceae. The record is from RNAcentral.
GCAAUUAAGGGUGUCACACAUUUAUUUCGCACCAUUCGUCAUACUAUUUAGUCAUGCUCAUUAUUUAACUCAAAAUAUAAAGUAUUGCACAAUACGCAGCGGAUAGAGAUCAAAUCAAUCAUUCAAAACAUGUAACAUACUACAUGUAAACUGGUUCAACAAACAUCAACAACACAAUUAAAAUGUUCCCUCCCGAUGUUACAUCUAUCAGAGCAUGACCCACUAAGGAGACUACACUAGACUCCAAGC